AAUCGCGGUAAUGUGGGCGGUUCACUACCGGCGACAUUGCGAGAAGUCCACUGAACCUUAUCAUUUAGAGGAAGGAGAAGUCGUAACAAGGUUUCCGUAGGUGAACCUGCGGAAGGAUCAUUGUCGAU
RNAcentral lists this ribosomal RNA (128 nucleotides) under Afzelia quanzensis. RNAcentral's name for it is "partial 18S ribosomal RNA". It matches the Rfam family "Eukaryotic small subunit ribosomal RNA", at positions 1713 to 1831 of the family's 1831-position model. Lineage: Eukaryota; Viridiplantae; Streptophyta; Magnoliopsida; Fabales; Fabaceae. The record is from RNAcentral.